CCUACGGGAGGCAGCAGUGGGGAAUAUUGGACAAUGGGCGAAAGCCUGAUCCAGCCAUGCCGCGUGUGUGAAGAAGGUCUUCGGAUUGUAAAGCACUUUAAGUUGGGAGGAAGGGUUGUAGAUUAAUACUCUGCAAUUUUACGUUACCGACAGAAUAAGCAACGGCCUACUCUGUUCCCGCAGGCGGCGGUAUUCCGGGGGGGCAAGCGGUAAUCGGAAUUACUGGGCGUAAAGCGCGCGUAGGUGGUUUGUUAAGUUGGAUGUGCAAUCCCCGGGCUCAACCUGGGAACUGCAUUCAAAACUGACUGACUAGAGUAUGGUAGAGGGUGGUGGAAUUUCCUGUGUAGCGGUGAAAUGCGUAGAUAUAGGAAGGAACACCAGUGGCGAAGGCGACCACCUGGACUAAUACUGACACUGAGGUGCGAAAGCGUGGGGAGCAAACAGGAUUAGAUACCCGGGUAGUC
This 464-nucleotide ribosomal RNA is filed under the name uncultured Pseudomonas sp. Its description in RNAcentral is "bacterial SSU rRNA". It matches the Rfam family "Bacterial small subunit ribosomal RNA", at positions 338 to 795 of the family's 1533-position model. The record is from RNAcentral. Lineage: Bacteria; Pseudomonadati; Pseudomonadota; Gammaproteobacteria; Pseudomonadales; Pseudomonadaceae.